CCUACGGGCAGCAGCAGUGGGGGAUAUUGCACAAUGGGGGGAACCCUGAUGCAGCGACGCCGCGGGGGUGAAGGAGUGCUUCGGCAUGUAAAGCCCUAUCGGCAGGGAAGAAGCAAGACGGUACCUGACUAAGAAGCCCCGGCUAACUACGUGCCAGCAGCCGCGGUAAUACGUAGGGGGCGAGCGUUAUCCGGAUUCACUGGGUGUAAAGGGAGCGUAGACGGCCAUGCAAGCCAGGGGUGAAAGCCCGGGGCCCAACCCCGGGACUGCCCUUGGAACUGUGCGGCUAGAGUGCGGGAGGGGCAGGCGGAAUUCCUGGUGUAGCGGUGAAAUGCGUAGAUAUCAGGAGGAACACCGGCGGCGAAGGCGGCCUGCUGGACUGCGACUGACAUUGAGGCUCGAAAGCGUGGGGAGCGAACAGGAUUAGAUACCCUAGUAGUC
This 441-nucleotide ribosomal RNA is filed under the name uncultured bacterium. Its description in RNAcentral is "partial 16S ribosomal RNA". It matches the Rfam family "Bacterial small subunit ribosomal RNA", at positions 338 to 795 of the family's 1533-position model. The record is from RNAcentral.